RNAcentral lists this ribosomal RNA (427 nucleotides) under uncultured bacterium. RNAcentral describes it as "partial 16S ribosomal RNA". It matches the Rfam family "Bacterial small subunit ribosomal RNA", at positions 355 to 774 of the family's 1533-position model. The record is from RNAcentral.
UGGGGAAUAUUGGACAAUGGGCGAAAGCCUGAUCCAGCCAUGCCGCGUGUGUGAAGAAGGUCUUCGGAUUGUAAAGCACUUUAAGUUGGGAGGAAGGGCAUUAACCUAAUACGUUAGUGUUUUGACGUUACCGACAGAAUAAGCACCGGCUAACUCUGUGCCAGCAGCCGCGGUAAUACAGAGGGUGCAAGCGUUAAUCGGAAUUACUGGGCGUAAAGCGCGCGUAGGUGGUUUGUUAAGUUGGAUGUGAAAUCCCCGGGCUCAACCUGGGAACUGCAUUCAAAACUGACUGACUAGAGUAUGGUAGAGGGUGGUGGAAUUUCCUGUGUAGCGGUGAAAUGCGUAGAUAUAGGAAGGAACACCAGUGGCGAAGGCGACCACCUGGACUAAUACUGACACUGAGGUGCGAAAGCGUGCGGAGCAAACA